RNAcentral lists this ribosomal RNA (408 nucleotides) under uncultured bacterium. Its description in RNAcentral is "partial 16S ribosomal RNA". It matches the Rfam family "Bacterial small subunit ribosomal RNA", at positions 28 to 526 of the family's 1533-position model. The record is from RNAcentral.
GACGAACGCUGGCGGCGUGCUUAACACAUGCAAGUCGAACGAAGUGGCGAACGGGUGAGUAACGCGUAAUCAACCUGCCCUUCAGAGGGGGACAACAGAUGGAAACGACUGCUAAUACCGCAUACUGAAGGAGGGUAUUGCGUCUGAUUAGCUAGUUGGAGGGGUAACGGCCCAACAAGGCGAUGAUCAGUAGCCGGUCUGAGUGGAUGUACGGCCACAUUGGGACUGAGACACGGCCCAGACUGCUACGGGAGGCAGCAGUGGGGAAUCUUUCGCAAUGGACGAAAGUCUGACGGAGCAACGCCGCGUGCGUGAUGACGGCCUUCGGGUUGUAAAGCUCUUUUACUCGGCACGCGGUACCGGAAUAGAAAGCCACGGCUAACUACGUGCCAGCCGCCGCGGUAAUUC